CGGCCUGUGGCAUCGCUCACACGCACCGGGCCGGGGAGAGCUGGGGGUGAAGCCGCGGGCUUUGCCAUCGCCUCCCUCAGCCCCGCGUCCGCAUCCCCUCAGAGAGGCGGUGUGGUGAGGAAGGCUGCAGGUGGUCGCUGCGAGCGAGCCGGCGGACGUCCUUAGGGCCUCCCCUCGGAGCAGGGCCUGCAGCCCUCGCUCUGCACACGCUGACCCGCACCUGCACCGGGGACUCUGGGGUGCCCAGGUCUGACUGCUAGAGCCCAGGGAAAGGCAGAGGGAGGGUGCCAAGAAGGCACGGGGCUAUGCUCUUACCUGAACCACAGGAAGGGGACCGCCCUGCCCCAUCCAACCCGCAGCGGCGCUUCCAGGGGCAGGAAGUCAGCUGAGUACCAGCAAGCGGCUGCCUGGGGGAGGGGCUCAGGCCCAGGGUCAGCGGGGCUGUCUGCGGCUUCUCUCCUGGGGCCACACUCGGAAGCCUGGAGUGGGCAACCAGAGCCUGGGUGUCCACCCCGUUCCUUCACUGGCUCACAGCUGGAGACCGGCCGGCCUCAGCCUGCUGCCCUGUGUACCUGGGGGUGUCAUGUCCCCACUUCCUAGAGUUGUUGUGAUAGUUCAGUGAGCAAACACCCCCCUCCCCCCGUGCCUAGUGCCUAGUGAGCACCCAGCCUGCACUGGCGGCUCAGAUGCCCCUGGAGAGAGGCCUGGGCCCGGGACCGACUUUAUUCUCGCCAGCAGCCUGGCAUUUGCCUAGUGGUGCGACCUGCUUAGGGGAGAGCGCUGAAGUCUUAGCCAGCUCCGGGCGGCCCCUGGGAAAGCAGGGAGGCCCCGCUCCAUGCCUCACACACGGAGCGCGAGCUCUGGCUGCAGCUCCUCGGGGGGGCCCCUCGCUGGCAGGCCUGCCCAACCACAGGACCAGCGGGCUCCGGGCCAGGCAGUUACAGUAAGCCCGGCCCGCCCUUCCUCACACGGGUACCACAGUUCCCGCUCGGGUCCGAGCCCUGGUUCCCACUGAGGAGGACAAGGGGGAUCAGGGCCUCUUACCCACCCCCCCAGGAUGCCCAUCUCCCCAGCCACGUCCAGGGGCUGCCUCAUCCUGGCGGCCGCUGGCAGGGGAGGGCAGCUGGAGCGGCAUGAGUGCGGGGGGCUGACUCACGGCAGCUGGCUGGGCCUCCAGUAAUAUUCUUGGGCCUCAGCCCGGGAUUCCUGCAGGUUCCGACCAUCCCUGUGUGAGGCGGGCGCCAAGAUAUGACAGGUCGCUGGUUAACAGAUGGGGAAACUGAGGCUGGGAGAGGCGAGAGAGGAGAAGGGAACACGCCGCCCGCCAGCUGCGCAUUCCGCAGCCCUUCCAUCAGCGCCGCCCCGCGGCCUCCUCGCAGGCGGUGAGGUCAGCGCCGCGCCCGGGAUCCCGGCCCCCGCCCCGCGCCGCC
Myotis myotis is the source of this 1430-nucleotide long non-coding RNA. RefSeq lists it as uncharacterized. The record is from RefSeq and is a predicted model, not a curated record. The transcript has 3 exons. Lineage: Eukaryota; Metazoa; Chordata; Mammalia; Chiroptera; Vespertilionidae.